UAGUUCAAAACAUACAGGACUAGGUGCAGAGAACAAAAAAGUGAAUAAAACAGCUUCACCCACAAGUAGCUUGUAGUUCAGUGGGAAACAAUCUAAAUAAUAAUAGUAACAACAACAGUAGCUUCGCAUUUAUGCUCUCCAGGGCACAUUGGGCUAAAUGCUUUAUAUACAGACAAAUAUAAAAGAGAUUGAAAUACCAAGUAAUAAAGUGCUUUGCAAUUAGACAAAGUCGCAAAUAAAUUAAAGAUGACCUUGUUACCACUACUCAUCUUUAGAUGUCUGUCCCUCUUGGUUCCCCAUUGAGGCUGCAAGCUCCAUGAAUCAGAAGAGGACUCGUCCCUCUUUGUGUCUUCUGUGGUGGCCUCAGCAAAGUAUGUGUCAUUCCAAGAUUGUCCACUCAUUGGUUACUGCCCUUCCAGAGCCAAAAGGACCAGAGGAAAGGCUGCCUGGUCAGAGGUCAACGCCAUUGGAGGUCCAGUCAACAGGGCCUCACUGAGGUCACUUCGUCUGGCUCCUGCCAUCGGCCACACCCAGCUGGUAAGGAGAAGUUGUCUUUCCUUGAAGGGCCUGAGAGUAGAAAUAUCUACUUUUCCCAGGAGGUCCUGAGUUCUGACUCCUGUUCUUUGAAAAUUCUUCUCUUGGUCUUACGCCCUCUUCCCAGCUUUACUCUCCGAAACAUCCUUUGAGUGCAAGAGCGGUGCCUUUCACAUCCUCUCCUUCACUCGCCCUCCUGGUCAGCAGCAUCUCCUCCCUCCCAGGUGCCCCAGGGUUUCAGCCACUCCAGGUUCCACUGAGAUGGAAAUGCAUCCACACUAAGUCGUGGGAAAGGACUGAGCAUCAGAACCAGCAUCCGACUCUGGACCUGCCCCAGCUCUGCCUCUGCACCUCUGAAGAGUAACUCCCAUCCUGCCUUCUGGGCUCAUUAGGAGAAUCAAACAAGAUGACGUGUUAAUGGGCUUUACCACCUGGACCAUGUGAAACAGAGCUGAGGGGUCAUUAUUACCUGCAUUUUAAAGAGAAACCUUUAGGUUUUGAGUUUUAAAGCAGUUUUACUAAACCUAAUGAUGGAAGUUCAGACCAAGUUCAGACCUUUCUUUUCUGGAAAGAAGAGAAAUAUGGGGACACCAGGAUUGCUCAGGCCCAGCACGGUUUCCAGUGGGAGGGGAUCCUUGCCUCCGGCUCCUGGCAGCAGGAGACCUCUCCCCAAGAGCACAGCCUUCCUUUUGCAGCUUUUUUGAAACUGUAUGAUGAAAUAGAAGAGAAUUGGUGUCACGCAGAAUAGAACAUGAGCUCUGCUAACCUUCUCCAUCGACUCUGGAAGGCCACUUUCCUGCUCUAAGAAGCAGUGGCCUGGUGAGACUUUCCUGAGCAGCAGCCAUCUCUAAGGGCUGCUGGGCAAAAGCAAACUGGCUGGACUUUGGGCUCAGAAGAACCACAACAGCACAGACAAACAAACAACUGUCUAAGUAGAAAUGCAUUGGGCAAUGCCCGAGUAUAUAGAGGUUCUUGCACAGCAUUGUUCCUGAGACGGGGCAGACCAGAGACAGAGACCCCUGACAGGGAAAGGGAACGGGCUUGGGUCUCGCCAUGUGCCUAUCCCGCGGGCUCAGUUGAAUGCAUAACUCUCGUCGGAGCUGAACUUCUGGCUGUAAACAUGUGGUUGGAUUUACUUUGCUUUUCCAAAGUGGACACUUGGGCCAGCCUCACAACAACACAAAAGUGUAUGCAUUAUUUACCAGCCACUAGAAAAGUCGGCUUAGGAGGCAAAGAACAGGUUUCCAUUCUAACCCCCAUCAGAGAGCCAUAGAAGCGUGGGACAUUAGAGCUUUCCAGAACCUCAGAGAUUUCCCUUCAUUGUUCCCUCAAUCUUUGGGUGAGGAAACUGAGGCCAAGUCUGUAUCCUGCCCAAGACCACGUGCUCACUGAUGGUUGGGACCAGAUCUUUUUCAUUUCUAGGCCCUCAUUGUCUGGCAGAGUGCCUGAGUCAUGGUGGGAGCUCAAAAAAUGAUGACAAACACAUGGACAAAAAUAUUGACAAAAGGGUAAAAAUAGUGGAAUGAGAUGAGAGAUGUCUGCCCCUGUCCCUGUCCCACGGCUGUUCCCGUAGAAAUGGUGGCGUCUCUGUAAGCACAAGAACACCUUGCUUCAAAACAGAGUUCAUGUUGUUAAAACAGGGUGAGGCCAUUUCAAGUUCCAGUUUGUGAUCUGACCAACUUGAGGGGCUAAGGUGAGCUUCUUCCUUCUUUGGGACAGUGUUGAGACCUAUGUCCUUUGAACUCUGCCCUGGUUCAGUCCUCUCCGUCUUCUCUGCCCUAAUUGCUGCCUGAUGAAGGAUACUGAAGACAUUUAGCUGGCCAGGAUGUGCGCUGUGACUGUGUCCAUCUUUGUUGACCUCCCCACCCAGGCUGAGUGAGACUUUCCCAUCCUCUCAAACCUAUCCUUUCAUAAAAUCCUUUCA
Molecule: long non-coding RNA, 2458 nt
Organism: Equus asinus (donkey)
Lineage: Eukaryota; Metazoa; Chordata; Mammalia; Perissodactyla; Equidae
Source: Ensembl